GGUCAUUGAAUGUUGAAACACCAGUUCUUGUCUGAUCACCAAAGUUAAGCAAUAUUGAGCCUGCUCCAUACCUAGAUGAGUGACCACUUGAGAAUAACAGGUGCUGGA
Non-coding RNA from Acanthosepion pharaonis, 108 nucleotides. Lineage: Eukaryota; Metazoa; Mollusca; Cephalopoda; Sepiida; Sepiidae. The record is from the annotation of a GenBank genome assembly.